ACUGGUUUGUUUCUUAGACCUCAGUAUUCUGGAUUCUUGUUCUUAGUGAAUUUUGUUUUUCCUGAAAUCAUGAUUACCUUUGUCCAUUCUUCUGCCAAUCAUGUGAAAAUACUAGUUAUAGGUCUGUAACUAUCUUUCAUCUGCUGAUUUAAUCUCAUUGCUGAUGCUAUCUUUUUAUUGAAUAGCACUUGUCACCUGUGCUUAGAAUAUUGAUUAUUUUUCCUUCUGUAUGUAGACUUAUUUACAAGAGGUAUAGAUAUUCAAGCAGUUAAUGUUGUCAUCAAUUUUGACUUCCCCAAGAAUUCAGAAACGUAUUUACACAGGGUUGGUCGAUCUGGAAGGUUUGGGCACCUUGGUUUAGCUGUGAAUCUGAUAACAUAUGAGGAUCGGUUCAAUUUGUAUAGAAUUGAACAAGAACUAGGGACAGAGAUAAAGCAGAUCCCUCCACAUAUAGAUCAAGGUAUAUACUGCCAGUGAUAUGUGGUGGUGGCAUCCGUUUUCAUGGUUGAAGGUGGUAAAGCUGCGACAUUUGCCCCACCCCGGAGGUUUACUCGAUCAAAAUUCCGUUGGGGAUUUAUUCGAAAUCGUGUCGUGUUAUUGGUCUCGAAAGACUUGUAUUUGCCUAGUGAUAGAGGCAGAUGAUGCAAGACAUUUGGCGUGUCUUAUUUGGAAUGAUAUUGCCACUGGAUGCCCAGUCGUUUGAGCCUUGCUUAUUUGCUAUUUUUAUGUUGCGUAAAAGUUUGAGCUCUAUGUCAAGAUCUGCUUUUCUGUAUGUUUAAAUCCUAAUAAAAAAUAUUUGCUUCGUCUCUGUUAACAAAGAUUCUGUGGUUAUUUUUGUUAAUCGGUAGUAUUUUCUUUUCUGGUU
Molecule: long non-coding RNA, 865 nt
Organism: Salvia miltiorrhiza (redroot sage)
Lineage: Eukaryota; Viridiplantae; Streptophyta; Magnoliopsida; Lamiales; Lamiaceae
Exons: 4
Source: RefSeq, a predicted model, not a curated record